GGCGCGUAGGCGGUGGAGUAAGUCUGAGGUGGAAGAUUAGGGCUUAACCCGAAAAUUGCCUUGGAAACUGCAUCACUUGAGUCAGCGAGGGGGUGGCGGAAUUCCAGGUGUAGCGGUGAAAUGCGUAGAUAUCUGGAGGAAGGCCGGUGGCGAGGGCGGCCAUCUGGCGCUGAACUGACGCUGAGGCGCGAAAGCGUGGGGAGCAAACAGGGUUAGAUACCCUGGUAGUCCACGCCCUAAACGGUGGGUACUAGGUGUAGGGCUCGUAAGGGUUCUGUGCCGUAGGGAAACCAUUAAGUACCCCGCCUGGGGAGUACUGCCGCAAGGUUGAAACUCAAAGGAAUUGACAGGGGCCCGCACAAGCGGUGGAGCAUGUUGUUUAAUUCGACGCAACGCGAAGAACCUUACCUGGGCUUGACAUGGUAGUGGUAGGGAUAUGAAAGUUGACCGAUCCCGAGCAAUCGGGAAGCUAUCACAGGUGCUGCAUGGCUGUCGUCAGCUCGUGCCGUGAGGUGUUUGGUUAAGUCCCGCAACGAGCGCAACCCUUAUCCUCUGUUACCUCGCAAGAGGGUCUCUGAGGAAACUGCCGGCGAUGAGCUAGAGGAAGGUGGGGAUGACGUCAAGUCAUCAUGGCCCUUAUGUCCAGGGCUACACACGUGCUACAAUGGGUACUACAGAGGGUAGCAAGACCGCGAGGUGGAGCCAAUCCCUAAAAGUAUUCGUAGUUGGGAUCGGAGUCUGCAACUCGACUCCGUGAACCUGGAAUCGCUAGU
RNAcentral lists this ribosomal RNA (773 nucleotides) under uncultured Thermodesulfovibrio sp. RNAcentral's name for it is "bacterial SSU rRNA". It matches the Rfam family "Bacterial small subunit ribosomal RNA", at positions 566 to 1339 of the family's 1533-position model. Lineage: Bacteria; Pseudomonadati; Nitrospirota; Thermodesulfovibrionia; Thermodesulfovibrionales; Thermodesulfovibrionaceae. The record is from RNAcentral.